This is an RNA transcript of Macrosteles quadrilineatus (aster leafhopper), 1292 nucleotides long. It is a transcript of the gene named electron transfer flavoprotein subunit beta-like, with no coding region annotated. The record is from RefSeq and is a predicted model, not a curated record. The transcript is spliced from 8 exons. NCBI's taxonomy places the organism in Eukaryota, Metazoa, Arthropoda, Insecta, Hemiptera, Cicadellidae.
CCGAAAAAGUCAAAGUUGUACUUUAACCUCAACAACAACAUAACAUAGCAAUAUUAAUAUUUAAUCAUUUUCAUCGAUCUUUCUUUCCGUUUUGUUACAUUUUUUGCUUAUCACGGUUCCUUUAUAAACUCUCGUACCUUAAUCUAAUGAAAGCUAUUUAAUUAUAUCUACCAAAUAAAUUAAAGGAGGAAGAAAAUCAAACUAGACUAGGCCUACCUCCAAGUAUUUCUAUUCUAGGCUAUUGGUAUUUUGAAGUUUUCUGACAAGAAGUAAUUUAGGUUCAAGGUAAUGGCCAGGGUGCUUGUUGGCGUUAAACGAGUGAUCGAUUAUGCUGUUAAGAUCCGAGUAAAGCCAGAUAAGAGUGGGGUGGUGACGGAUGGGGUGAAGCACUCCAUGAACCCCUUUGAUGAGAUAGCUGUUGAAGAGGCUGUGCGUAUGAAGGAGAAGAAAAUUGCCUCAGAAGUAAUAGCUGUGUCAUGUGGUCCAGCACAGGCUCAGGAAACACUGAGAACAGCUCUGGCAAUGGGGGUGGAUCGUGGUAUCCAUGUGGAGGUGACUGGUCCUGAGUAUGAAACACUUCAGCCCAUUCACGUGUCCAAGAUAUUGGCAAAGCUUGCACAGGAUGAAAAGGCAGACAUUGUCAUUGUAGGAAAACAGGCAAUUGAUGAUGAUUCAAAUCAGACAGCACAAAUGACAGCUGCUCACAUGGAUUGGCCCCAAGGAACUUUCGCUUCCAAGGUGGAGAAAACAAAUGGAGAUGUGACAAUAACUAGAGAAAUUGAUGGAGGACUGGAAACUAUCAAAAUAAAACUUCCAGCUGUCAUCAGCGCCGAUCUACGUCUCAAUGAGCCUCGAUAUGCAACAUUGCCUAACAUCAUGAAAGCCAAGAAGAAGCCUAUAAAGAAGGUAACAGCGAAGGAGCUGGGGGUGGACACGGGGGCCAGGAUAGAGGUGGUCAGUGUGGAGGAUCCUCCUGUGAGACAGGCUGGCUCUGUACUGCCUGACGUGGACACUCUGGUCACCAAGCUCAAAGAGGGCGGACAUGUAUAAACAGCCGCUGCCAGUUGCACAACGUCCAAUAGCUCAGCGCUGUCCCACGACGUCCAGAGCGCCUGCACACUAUCAAAAGUAAUGUGGUACUGCUGGUGGUUGAAGAUGCCAACUUUAAUAACAUUUUUUAAUAUUUAUUAGAAACUAUGACAUUUCAUUGUAAACUAAUAAAAUGUGUCAUUGAUAUAUAUUUUUGUUGUUAUAUUGUAUUUAUACUGGAAGUAAAAUGGUACUUGUUAUUA